RNAcentral lists this ribosomal RNA (1402 nucleotides) under uncultured bacterium. RNAcentral's name for it is "16S ribosomal RNA". It matches the Rfam family "Bacterial small subunit ribosomal RNA". The record is from RNAcentral.
AGAGUUUGAUCCUGGCUCAGGAUGAACGCUAGCGGCAGGCUUAACACAUGCAAGUCGAGGGGCAGCGGGGAGGAAGCUUGCUUUCUCCGCCGGCGACCGGCGCACGGGUGAGUAACACGUAUGCAACCUGCCCCUGUCAGGGGGACAACCCGCCGAAAGGCGGGCUAAACCCGCGUACAUGCCACCGGGGCAUCCCGGAGGCAGGAAAGGCUUCGGCCGGACAGGGAUGGGCAUGCGGCGCAUUAGGCAGUAGGCGGGGUAACGGCCCACCUAACCGACGAUGCGUAGGGGUUCUGAGAGGAAGGUCCCCCACACUGGUACUGAGACACGGACCAGACUCCUACGGGAGGCAGCAGUGAGGAAUAUUGGUCAAUGGUCGGGAGACUGAACCAGCCAAGCCGCGUGAGGGAGGAAGGUACAGAGUAUCGUAAACCUCUUUUGUCAGGGAACAAAGGCGGGGACGUGUCCCCGGAUGAGUGUACCUGAAGAAAAAGCAUCGGCUAACUCCGUGCCAGCAGCCGCGGUAAUACGGAGGAUGCGAGCGUUAUCCGGAUUUAUUGGGUUUAAAGGGUGCGCAGGCGGUCUGUUAAGUCAGCGGUCAAAGCCCGGGGCUCAACCCCGGCCCGCCGUUGAAACUGGCAGUCUCGAGUUGGAGAGAAGUAUGCGGAAUGCGCGGUGUAGCGGUGAAAUGCAUAGAUAUCGCGCAGAACUCCGAUUGCGAAGGCAGCAUGCCGGCUCCACACUGACGCUGAGGCACGAAAGCGUGGGUAUCGAACAGGAUUAGAUACCCUGGUAGUCCACGCAGUAAACGAUGAAUGCUGGCUGUCCGGGGGGACUGACCCCUGGGUGGCGAAGCGAAAGCGAUAAGCAUUCCACCUGGGGAGUACGCCGGCAACGGUGAAACUCAAAGGAAUUGACGGGGGCCCGCACAAGCGGAGGAACAUGUGGUUUAAUUCGAUGAUACGCGAGGAACCUUACCCGGGCUCAAACGGGGAGUGGCGCAGGCAGAGACGCCUGUUUCCCACGGGACACUCCCCGAGGUGCUGCAUGGUUGUCGUCAGCUCGUGCCGUGAGGUGUCGGCUUAAGUGCCAUAACGAGCGCAACCCCCGCGUGCAGUUGCUAACAGUCAACGCUGAGGACUCUGCACGGACUGCCGGCGCAAGCUGCGAGGAAGGCGGGGAUGACGUCAAAUCAGCACGGCCCUUACGUCCGGGGCGACACACGUGUUACAAUGGCAGGUACAGAGAGAAGCCAUCCCGCGAGGGAGAGCGGAACUACAAAGCCUGUCUCAGUUCGGAUUGGAGUCUGCAACCCGACUCCAUGAAGCUGGAUUCGCUAGUAAUCGCGCAUCAGCCACGGCGCGGUGAAUACGUUCCCGGGCCUUGCACACACCGCCCGUCA